UCUCCACGGUUCGGAUCCAGGGCCCCAGCCUUCCUCUCUCCAUAAAAGGAGGGGGAGUCAGUCUUUGGGGAAGGAGGGGGGCGGGUUUGGGGCACUCACCUGGCGGCUGCCACGCGCCCCCGCCCAGGAUCCGAGGCCUGGGGCAUCUGAAUGAGGACCCUCCACCCACAUUUCCACUUGGGAGCGAGCUCCAGUCGGGGAAAGGGCCUGCAGCCCGCCUCGUCCCCACCCUGGGACCCCGCGCCCCCCAGUCCCCCACUCCCGCGCCGAAGGCAGGGCCGCGCCCUGAGCCGGGAAGUCGAGGGGAUGGAAGGGAAAGGAGCCACCGGUGAGGGUCCCCCGGGUUCUGAGCCUCCCGCGUCGGGAUCCGUGGGGCGCACAGAGCGCCACCUCCGGCCGAGGCGCAGCUCAGAGCGCGAUGCGGGGGAGGAACGCGCGCGGAGGCCGAGGUCUGAGCGUGGCUAGACGGCUCCCACGCCGAGAAAGGGCGGGUGCGCCUGGGCUGGAUGGAUUUCGCCUCCCUAGACCAGGAGGGAUUGGACCCUGACUACAGGUCCAGGUGCUCGUCAGUGCCCUGCCAGGGGGUCUACGCGUCCUGGUACCGGGUCCAGCGGGGUGGCGUGCUGUGCAGACCCCGAGGCUAGACGGCCUAGGCCCCUGGAGCCCAGGAGACGCUUCCUUGGGUGAGCAGCGGAGAAUCCCGCCCGGCCCAGCCGUCACCCCCAACCCUGUCGAUUAAACCCCUGCCCCCGUCGCGGUCGCCCUCCCUCCAGACAAAGGCCGUUAAGGCGCAGCCCCGCGGGCGGUCUUUCAUCCCCAGCUAGGCCAGCUCUAGCAUUUCAAAGGCCGAAUCCGGAGAGCGCUUCGGGGGCUCUCCCCUUCCCCCAAAUAUUUGGGGAGCGACGCCUCUCCCUCCGCUCCCAGUGGGUCGCGUCUACACGCGCCCUUCCACACACCUGCAGGCCCCCUCCCCACGUCUCUCCCUUCCGUUGGCCGCAGCCCCACACCACGACCCCCGCGGUCAAGCAUGCCCUCUGGGUGGUCAGGACCAAGCGGGACCGGGACAGAACCAGGGGAGCCUUGGAAACGUGGAGGAGCCCCUUAAAGCCAGGCCUUGUCCCUCCAGGGGGAACUUGCGGCUUGGGAGGGGACACCCACUGCAUGGCUUCUGGAAAGAGCCGGACUCGCAGGGCCAGGACGCAGGCCGGACCCCGGCCUCAUUCUUCGGCCAGUUAUCCCGGAGUGGCGCGCAUCCUGUCUUCCUGGGCCUCGGACUGCUCGCGCGCAGAGGGGGCCCGAGGACACCUCUGUGGGGUUAGAGGACUCGGUAAGACGGUGUGGAAGGCAAGGAGGAAGGUCGCGUUGUAUUGGGGAUGGGGUACCCGUCCCUCCCAGCUUGAGGGAUCCUGGGGGUCCUCGCCGCCUCUGAGGGCCUAGAUGGCUGCUUCCCUCGGCUCCCCUGCCCGGCCUGGAGCUACGGGUGCGCCCAGCUAGAGUUUAGGGCCACCUGGGGACGUGCAAGGGGCGCUGGAGCGAGGCGGGGGCUGGGGCGGGGCGUGGGUGCUUCACCCGCGGGGGACGCAGAGCUUAGGCGAAAGCGGUGCAGGCAUCUCUCUAAUCGCCGGCCGCUAUUAAAAAUAAAACCGCGACCCGUCGCCAUGGCGACCACAACAACAGCGGCCGCGCGAGGGAGGCGAAAACUUGUGCAGCCGCGCGACAGCCGCCUUCUGGGGAGACUCGGGGCACGACGCACCCGGCGUGGGACUGGGACCCCCCUGCCCGGCCCCGCCACAUUCUCCGCCGGAUCCCCGGAAGACACAAGGAGACGUGGACCCCCACAGGCUUUUUUGGGGGGAUUGGGCGUUGAAACCGCAGGGCUGACUUAACCAAGAGGUCACCGACUUGGAUAAAAAACCCACGCCCGCGCGGACCCCCCUCCCCGGCCUUCGUUUCCAUUCAAACUCCCAGCGUCCUCAUUGCAGCCCCUGGGGAGGGGGACGGAGGGACGAGGUGGGUUUCAGGUGCUCGGCCCAGGAGGGGACGGUGCGACCCGGGCCCCGCCGGCGGGUUUUGCGCGCGGAGGCUGCGGCACCUGCCCCGCCCGCCCUGCCGCGAUCCUUGCAGACGGGGGCGGUCACAUGCUUCUUUCUGGCCAGGAAUCGAGUUUCACUUCCAGCCGCUAUUAGUCGGUUCACACAGUUCACUGCAAACAUUUGAUAAUGAGGCUAAAUAUACUCCCGCGUCGGAGGAGGCGUGGGCGUCCCCGCCCAGGCCCGGGAGACAGAGGCGCUGACCCCGGGACAGAGCCUGGCUUUGUGCGGGAGGCAGACGCGCCCCGCGCGCCGCCCCCGAAACAUUCGCACCCCAUGCUGAGGCGCGCGUCUGGGAGUCCGUGGGCGCCCCGAGGUGAGCCCGGGGCCCCUGGCGGAAGCAGCGGGGAGCUCCCGGCGGGUGCGGGGAGGUGCUGGUGGGAAGCAAGGUGCACCUGGCGGCCUGGGAUGUCCGGUCGCCCCCGGAGCCGGUGCAUCCGGCCUCUCCCGGCGCGCCCCGACGUGCCCGCGGGCUCAUAAUUACCGUGAGUCAGGUGCCCCAAAUAGGCCGAGCGAGGGGGGCCGUCGCGCAGCAGGGGCGGGUGGCCGGACGUCUGCCCGGGACUGGUUGCCUCCCGCCCCUCCCCAAGACCCUGGCACCCAGGGAGGGCGGGAAAGGCCUUGGCCAUUCCUCUGGGUAGGGGACUGGAGAGGGGAAGAAACUUUCGCCGAGUCCAGCGCUGCCCCCUCAUACCCAUCCCCACCCAGGCUGCGUGUCCGGGGCCCCUCCGGGGCUUGGCACCAGCAGGCACGCAGCGAUCGCCGUCGUUGUUAUUUAGUAGUAGUAGUAACGGCUGACAUUUACAGCGACGUCGAUGGCGCCAGGUGCCAAGCUCUUUCCUUGUAUAAUUUCAUGGACACUCACGCAUCAACUCUAAGCGAAGACUUGGAGCGGGGCUCAGCACCCCAGGGGUACCUCUGCAACCUCGGUAAAUAUAGACUAUCCUCAAUUCGCAGGGGCAUUUGUACGUGGGGUGUACAGGCAGGAACAGGAAAGACGCUGUGGCCACCCAGGAGUAGGGGCGGCAGCCAACACCCCCUGGAUCCCCAGUUCCAAGGUGCAGGGAGGGGGGCAGAGGCCAGUUCCCUCCGCUCUCUGCCCCUUGACCUUGGCCUUGGUGAGCUCUGUCCCUAGACUGCCCUGGGUGUCUGUUCCCUCAUCUGAAAAGCGUGAGGCCCACAGCCGUCACUGCACACAGCUGCCGUCACUGCACACAGCUGCCUCCACUGUCGGGAAGCCUCCCUCCUGCCCACCUGCCCAGGAAAAGCUGCGCUAGCGUGCCCUGGGCAAGCGCCCUGCUGGCCACCUGCCUGCACCUGGGUUGGGGGUGGGGGGACCAGCUGAGCACCCAAAUCCUGGCCUCUGCCCCCAGCGCCAGAGCAGAUUUCAGAACAAUUUGUAAUGACGAAACCCCACGUUUCCCUUUAUCUCUGGGCAAGGCUUUCUUCGUCCUAGGCAAUUAAUCCAAAAGCAACACCAGCCGAGUGGGCUGGACUCCUUGAAGAUCAAAACUGCCCAGCGCAGGCAUUAAUUAAGUCAUUAUCUCAGGCCCCCAGCGACUAGGGAUCAGGCCUUUCCAGUUCACACUCUCCAGAAAGGGAGAUAACUGCCCCGCCAGCAGGGUGGGAAGGCUCUCUCUCCAUGUUGUUUUAACUCCCUAUUAAAUCAUUUUAUUUUAAAUACACAAACAGAAAUGAAGUUGAAAAUAGCACAGGAGCCCACUAUCACUGUGUGAACAUUUUGUGAAUGAAGACAUGUAUGAAAGGAUGUUUGGAGGCUUCAAGAAACGAAAGCCGAGAGUCUAGCUAGACCAGAGCCAUCCAGCCCAGGAGCGAUGGCCACGUGUGGCCGCUGGACACGAGAGACGUGGCCAGUCCAAACUGUGCAGUGCGGGGCAGUGGAAGCCGUUGGAGGGCCUCAGGCAGGAACACAAGGUGUCGUGGCAGAAAGGAAGAAGGGGCCGGGCACGGUGGCCCACACCCGUCAUCCCAGCACUUUGGGAGGGAGGCCAAGGCAGGAGGAUCGCUUCAAUCCAGGAGUUCAAGAUCAGCCUGGGCAACACAGCAAGACCCCGUCUCUACUAAAACCCUAAAACUUAGCCAGGCUUGGUGGCAUGUGCCUAAGGUCCCAGGUCCUCGGGAGACUAAGGCAGGAGGAUUGCUUAAGCCCAAGAGUUUGAGGCUGCAGUGAACUAUUAUCACACCACUGCACUCAGCCUGGGUGACAGAGUGACUCUGUCUCAAAACUAAAUAAAUAAACAAUAAUUGU
RNAcentral lists this long non-coding RNA (4359 nucleotides) under Homo sapiens (human). RNAcentral's name for it is "non-protein coding lnc-DNAAF5-3:13". The record is from RNAcentral. Lineage: Eukaryota; Metazoa; Chordata; Mammalia; Primates; Hominidae.